CAAGUCUCCACUUCCUAAGGUUCCAUAAUCUCCCAAAACAAAUGCCACCAACUGGGGACCAGAUCUGUGUGACCUCUGAGGAAGAACGGGACGGCUUCAUCAGAGUCCUCAGUGGGAAGAAGAGAGGCCUCGUCCCAUUGGAUGUACUGGUAGACGUGUGACUGUAGCAGACCCUCCCAGUGCAGGAGGCCAGCGCUGCUGAUCUCUCUGUGUCCACCCAGAGGAGCAGCUGCACUGAUGGGUGCCCAGAAAACAGGGAGACUUGAAGAUUUGAGAGUGUGCUAGCAAUCUGGAAGCAGGCCAACUGCACAGCACACCAAGGCUGCCUGAGAGCAGCAUCCCAGAGCUGAGGGCUGCUAGCGGGAGUAGGUGGGCUGUAGCUAAGGCUGCCCCAGGACUCAGCUCCCUUCCUGCUCACCUGUGCAAGGCUGGAGUCUGCUCCAGGUCAUGGUGUGCUCCUGAUGAGAAGUUUGGAGCAGAGUAGCCAAGCGUUACUCUGGUUCUGGAUUACUGGUCCCCGUGCUGGCCAAUCAACCUCAUCACGACUCUUGCAAAGAAUCAAGAAAUCCAACCUCCCCGCUCCCAACACCCCAGGGCUCACUCCAGCUCCUGCUCAGUUUGUGUCUUGGCUGGCAGGACUAUCCUUUCUUUCUCUCCCAUUCUUCAAGCACAUCCUAGGCAGGGCCAAACCAGCAAGGUACCGAAUGCAAAGAUCUGACUUACCUACAGAUUUCGAAGGAGGGCAGCCUUGCUACUUCAGCGACUCGAAAGUGACAGGGCAAGGUCCAAGGCACAGAAUCAAGUUCUCCAGGGCAAUGGUUUCCGCUCCCACAGGUGUGAAGUGAAAAGGACAGGAAAUGCUUCUUUGUCUUUGUGCAGAGGAAGCUUGGGGCUUUGCUCACACCACCUGGGGAUAUUGCUCUCCACCUCUACCAAUGUUUACAAGAACAUACCACACUGCGAUGCCUUCCUCCCAGACCCUGUCCCAGCAUUCAGACCUGCUUCCUGGCAGUCACUGACAUGUCUAAAUGAUGUGACUUUGGGAUUCUUCGUUGCUUUGAUUUAUUUUGCCACUGAGCAAUAAAAUCAUUAGAACCAUCUC
Molecule: long non-coding RNA, 1102 nt
Filed under: Rattus norvegicus (Norway rat)
Lineage: Eukaryota; Metazoa; Chordata; Mammalia; Rodentia; Muridae
Description: long non-coding RNA NONRATT029037
Source: RNAcentral